CCAUCUGCACGUGAAGGCCGGAUUUUGAAAGGGGUAUUUUGGGAUUCUCCCAUUGCCUUCCCCCGGCGUCAAGGAAACAUCGUCCCCGCUAUCAGGUUCCCGUGUAUUCAUGGAACAGCUGUGCUGAAAUGGGAGUACGGACUAUACGGAACGAGAUCAGAGCUCGAACGUAGAGCUACAAGGUUUAUGCCCCCAAUAAUCUCUACUCUAACGUUGUUCAAACUUCAUACGACUCACGAGGUUUAUCGCAUUCACACCGUACAAUUGUGUGGUUCUAUGAUUGUCUCUAAAGAUUAU
Molecule: long non-coding RNA, 297 nt
Organism: Ipomoea nil (Japanese morning glory)
Lineage: Eukaryota; Viridiplantae; Streptophyta; Magnoliopsida; Solanales; Convolvulaceae
Exons: 2
Source: RefSeq, a predicted model, not a curated record